Molecule: long non-coding RNA, 1188 nt
Filed under: Megachile rotundata (alfalfa leafcutting bee)
Lineage: Eukaryota; Metazoa; Arthropoda; Insecta; Hymenoptera; Megachilidae
Description: uncharacterized LOC105662140, transcript variant X4
Source: RNAcentral
UUUUCUUUUUCGUCAUGAGAAAUUCUGUCCACCGGCCGAAACAUGCCCCCGUUUGUGUUCUACGUAAAACGCAAUGAUCGAUGUCUACACACUUUUGGCUCCAUCUAUGGGUUAAUCGAUUACGCGAAUAAUCGAUCUUAGAAUUUCUAAUGACAUUUCUGUAACACGCCUAUCGAAAUUUAACAUAUUUAUGCCGACCAUAAACUAGCGAAGGUUCAUUAUUCUAAAAAGUACCGCCAAAUUUAUUAACGUAAUAAUAGAAAUUUCCUAAUACGGUAUUGUUUUUUAUCAAUAUUAUAAAAACGAGGGACACUGACUUUAUAAAAAGAGAGUCGCUGUUUACGCAUCAUGGUAAGUUCCAAUGUUGACAAAGUGAAAAUGCAUGUACUUUGGUGUUGACCUACAUAGAUCGACAAUGCGAUCGAUGAUGGAUCACUGUACAAUUUUCGAAUUCCCGAAACAAGAGAAAGUUUUACAGAAAUAACAGAAUAGAAAACGAACAAUUACUGCAAAAAAUAGUGAGUAUAUUUUUUAGCGUUCCAAAAAUGUAUAAACCCGCGUUGCAAAUAUACACGAAGAACGCACUGGAAAAACCAUCAAUCGUGUUAAGUAAAAUGUUCAACAUUCCAGAAUACAAAAUUCAAUCUUCUUUCUCAUAACAAGUUUCUAAGUAUAUUCAAGAUCCUGUGAUCUAAAUAUUUUACAUUUAAAGCACCGAUAAUGAGCAUUACCUAGGAUGUCGACGGAUUAAGGUCAAUAUUAAAAUACGUCACGAUGAGUUGAAGCACUUCAGGACCAACACAAAGUAUAUAUAUAGGAAAUGUAACAUAACAAGAAGGGCACAAUGUCAUGAGAAAAGUCAACGUCCGAGACGCAUUUGUGCUAUCCCGCACGACUGCACAAGUGCACAAAGAGAGCAUUUGCAACAAAUAUACUUGUCGAUUCUGUUCGGUGAAAGGAGAUAAACAGUAUUAGUUACUUUAAAUCUUGAUUAACCCAGGAAUGAGGAGAUGUCUCCCCGCCGGCAUAGACAGUGCACACUACCACAAGUAUGAUGAUCCAUCUUUCCCACCAUCACUUGCGAAGUAUCUUUAUAAAUCUACUUACUGACCAACCUCAUUUCCAAAUUUGUAAAUUAGAAAUUUAAAGGUUAAAGAGGUUGGUAAUUUUAAAAUAGGUAUUUCUUUA